GUCACCUGGGAUCUUGUUAAAAUGCAGACUCCGAUUCAGUAGGUCUGGUGGCGCCUGAGAUUCUGCAUUUCUAACAAGCUUCCAGGUGCUGCAGC
RNAcentral lists this microRNA precursor (95 nucleotides) under Camelus bactrianus (Bactrian camel). RNAcentral describes it as "mir-544 microRNA precursor family". It matches the Rfam family "mir-544 microRNA precursor family". The record is from Rfam by way of RNAcentral. RNAcentral also lists the same sequence under 2 other names. Lineage: Eukaryota; Metazoa; Chordata; Mammalia; Artiodactyla; Camelidae.